GGCCUGGCUGGGUGGUCUUGCCGCAAGGUUAGCACUGCUCUGGUCGGGUCUUUCCUUCUGGGGAACCUGCGUGCGCUUAAUUGAGUGCGCAGGGGAUCCAGGACUUUUACUUUGAAAAAAUUAGAGUGUUUAAAGCAGGCAUUCGCUUGAAUACAUUAGCAUGGAAUAAUAGAAUAGGAC
Molecule: ribosomal RNA, 180 nt
Filed under: uncultured Glomeromycotina
Lineage: Eukaryota; Fungi; Glomeromycota
Description: partial small subunit ribosomal RNA
Rfam family: Eukaryotic small subunit ribosomal RNA (bases 93-180)
Source: RNAcentral